Styela clava is the source of this 253-nucleotide non-coding RNA. The record is from RefSeq and is a predicted model, not a curated record. Lineage: Eukaryota; Metazoa; Chordata; Ascidiacea; Stolidobranchia; Styelidae.
UUUCCCGACUUCACAGCCUAUGCACUGUGAUCUGUUACUAAAAAUUUCUCCACGUUUUUGUCAGGUCGCUGACGAUGGCUACGGUGUCUCCUACAUCAUCUGCCACGAAAACACCAUAAUGUUUCACAUCUCAAGCAAAGUCUCCUCUCAUGAGACAAACUCAUCUCGAUUUGCUGAUAACAUCGAAAAAGCAAUGAUGGAUGUGAAGGACCUCUGCGAAUAUGCAAAGAAAAAAUAAUUUGAGAAAAAAACA